This 200-nucleotide ribosomal RNA is filed under the name uncultured bacterium. RNAcentral describes it as "partial 16S ribosomal RNA". It matches the Rfam family "Bacterial small subunit ribosomal RNA", at positions 328 to 538 of the family's 1533-position model. The record is from RNAcentral.
ACGCUCGACACCUACGGGGGCAGCAGUGGGGAAUAUUGCACAAUGGGGGAAACCCGUGAUGCAGCGAUGCCGCGUGAAGGAAGAAGUAUCUCGGUAUGUAAACUUCUAUCAGCAGGGAAGAAAAUGACGGUACCUGACUAAGAAGCCCCGGCUAACUACGUGCCAACAGCCGCGGUAAUCUGAGCGGGCGUGGCGAAGGC